GUCCAAAUAAAAAGGAGUCUGACACUCUGGCAGCACACAUCUGAAGAAUCAACACCGCAGCAGGACUAAACAAGACACGUGAAAACAUGAAGACUGUGAUUCUCGCUCUCGUGGUGUUGGUGGUGGUCAGCCAGGGUGAAGCGUUGGAGUGUUACUGUGGAGGCACACGGUCUAAAUUCUGUCCAGAUCGUGCGGAUGGUACGCAGACUUGCGAAGGUCAGGAUCAAUUCUGUGUCAGGGCUCUUGAUCCAUAUAACAACACAAGAAUUGGCUGCUGGCUUGAAGAAGACUGCAUGUUGCUGAAUACACCGGGGUAUUCUGGCUUCUGCUGCACCCAAGAUCUGUGUAAUACACAGCAAUGAACAGCAUGCAGCACAACUUCCAGUUAUAAUAACAAUCUGCACUCAUGAACUGUGCAUUAUUUCCUUAAUAAAGAUCAAUAAGUUGCAGCAAUAGUUUUUUUUCUUUUUUAAAUAUCAGAUAACUUUUUAUUUUAUUCCUAAUGGAAUUCUGGCUUUUAAAUAUUCACAUUUAUCUGUAUUAUUUAACAAUUUUCACAAUUUAAUUAAGUGUUUCAUGUUUUCUUCGCCAUUAAAAAUCCUAAGCCGAUGCUACAAUAUCCAUCAUGAGGAGUAAAUUAUUUGUGGGAAAGUUUAUAGUUUUUUUCAGUUGCUAACACACAGAAAUCUCACAUAAAGCAUAAUUAUUUAUAGUUUUUGAUGAGUCAACAAUAAAGCAGUUUGGUGUUUAUGUUCAUUUGGCACGUGUAUUUGUUGAUUGGUUCAUGUGUGUAGCAUUUUUAAUGGCAGUGUUUUGAAAAAGGCAAACAAGUGAAUAUGUCAGAUUUCUGUGUCUUACUUAGAGAACCGUGUGCAGUGUUUUGCAAAAAGUGCCAAGUUGAUUUGCAAAUUGGGUGCAGAGCUGAAAAUGUGUUUAGAGUUUUGUAGAUUUGAGUUGAGGUUUUGCUCUUUGAGUCUGAGUUUAAAUAAUUAUGCUGUAUGUGAGAUUGUUGUGUGUUAGCAACUGAAACCUGUAAGUUCAAUGGUGUGUAGUCGGUUGGACAAAGUGUCUUGUAUUAUAAAUGAAGUGUGUGCCAUUUGGUGCAAAAGUUGUCGUUUUGGGUGCAGUUAGUCAUUCUGCAGGAUGUAUGAGGUGUUUUGCACUUUGGGUGUGUGGUUUUGUGAAUUGUGUAAAGUGUUUUGAGAAAAUGAGCCAUGUUUUCAAAAGCUUGUGUUAGCAAUUGAGGAAAAUUGUAAAGUGAGAUGAUGCUGAUAUUUCAACUUUGCAUACUACCCUACAAAUGACAGUGUGCCACAUUUCUUGGAACACUGUUUUAGUUUUUAGUACAACUUGUGCGUUACCGAAUUUCAAAGUGAAUGAUUGACAAUGGAUUGAUUACAUUGCUCAACAAGUCCAAAUAAGCUGGCAGCACAGAUCAGAAGAAUCAACAACGCAGUGGGGCAAUACAAGGUUAGAUAUCUUUGAGUUCUCUUUUCAAAUGCACAUUUAUUAAAACGCUUCAACUUAAAAGUAGCUUUUCAUUCCUCACACUUUUCACCUUUGCUUUUUUCCAUACACAGAUUUGUGUACAGACUGGUGAAAACAUGAAGACUGUGAUUCUCGCUCUCGUGGUGUUGGUGGUGGUCAGCCAGGGUGAAGCGUUGACGUGUCACUGUUCAAGCAUCCCUGCGAUAUGUCCAGGUUCAGUGGUAACCUGCGAGUUAGGUGAAGUCUGUGGCAGCAUCGCCGUUGGUGUUGGACCCCGUCCCUACCAUGUGAGGGAUUGCAUGAAAGCAGAUGAAUGCAUGCGCCUGAGUAACGCAGGAGGAGCGUAUUCUGACGGCCGCUGCUGCAGCCGAGACAUGUGCAACUGAUGGACUGCCUGCAACACAACUUUCAGUUUUAAUAAUAACCUGCUGUGCACUCAAGCACUCAUAAUAAAGAUCAAUCU
Long non-coding RNA from Trematomus bernacchii (emerald rockcod), 1951 nucleotides. RefSeq lists it as uncharacterized. The transcript has 6 exons. The record is from RefSeq and is a predicted model, not a curated record. NCBI's taxonomy places the organism in Eukaryota, Metazoa, Chordata, Actinopteri, Perciformes, Nototheniidae.